GUGGGGAAUCUUGCACAAUGGGCGAAAGCCUGAUGCAGCAACGCCGCGUGCGGGAAGAAGGCCCUCGGGUUGUAAACCGCUUUCAGAAGGAACGAAACUGACGGUACUUUCAGAAGAAGGUGCGGCCAACUACGUGCCAGCAGCCGCGGUGACACGUAGGCACCAAGCGUUGUCCGGAUUUAUUGGGCGUAAAGAGCUCGUAGGCGGUUCAGUAAGUCGGGUGUGAAAACUUUGGGCUUAACCCAAAGCGUGCAUCCGAUACUGCUGUGACUUGAGUACGGUAGGGGAGCGGGGAAUUCCUAGUGUAGCGGUGAAAUGCGCAGAUAUUAGGAGGAACACCGGUGGCGAAGGCGCCGCUCUGGGCCGAAACUGACGCUGAGGAGCGAAAGCAUGGGUAGCAAACAGGAUUAGAUACCCGAGUAGUCC
Molecule: ribosomal RNA, 426 nt
Filed under: uncultured bacterium
Lineage: Bacteria
Description: bacterial SSU rRNA
Rfam family: Bacterial small subunit ribosomal RNA
Source: RNAcentral